Molecule: ribosomal RNA, 465 nt
Filed under: uncultured bacterium
Lineage: Bacteria
Description: partial 16S ribosomal RNA
Rfam family: Bacterial small subunit ribosomal RNA
Source: RNAcentral
CCUACGGGUGGCAGCAUUGGGUAAUCUUGCGCAAUGGGCGAAAGCCUUACGCAGCGACGCCGCGUGAGUGAUGCAGGUCUUCGGAUCGUAAACCUCUGUCAGCAGGGAAGAACGGUCACUGUGCUAAUCAGCAGUGAAUUGACCGUACCUGCAAAGGAAGCACCGGCUAACUCCGUGCCAGCAACCGCGGUAAUACGGAGGGUGCGAGCGUGAAUCGGAAUUACUGGGCGUAAAGCGCUCGUAGGCGGUAUGUCAAGUAAAGGGUGAAAUCCCCGCGCUCAACGUGGGAACUGCCUUUGAAACUGGCAAACUGGAGUGUGUGAGAGGAUAGUGGAAUUCCAGGGGUAGGAGUGAAAUCCGUAGAUAUCGGGAGGAACAUCAGUGGCGAAGGCGACUAUCUGGAACAUAACUGACGCUGAGGAGCGAAAGCGUGGGUAGCAAACAGGAUUAGAUACCCUUGUAGUC